This 202-nucleotide unclassified non-coding RNA is filed under the name Hevea brasiliensis (rubber tree). The record is from RNAcentral. Lineage: Eukaryota; Viridiplantae; Streptophyta; Magnoliopsida; Malpighiales; Euphorbiaceae.
GAUAGAUCCUUAUGCCAAUGAUUCAUUGCAAACAAUACAAAAGCCGCAUGUAAACAUCUAAUUUUAUCUCUAAUUGUAUAAACACAAACAAAUAAAUCCAGAUGCUAAAUAAAACUCUAUUUGACUAAAUAUGUCAUUUUCCAUUAUAUACACACAUACAACAUGCUAUUCCUCUGAGUGAAAUUAUGCAACAGCUCUAUCA